RNAcentral lists this ribosomal RNA (406 nucleotides) under uncultured bacterium. RNAcentral describes it as "partial 16S ribosomal RNA". It matches the Rfam family "Bacterial small subunit ribosomal RNA", at positions 30 to 526 of the family's 1533-position model. The record is from RNAcentral.
AUUGAACGCUGGCGGCAGGCCUAACACAUGCAAGUCGAACGAGUGGCGGACGGGUGAGUAAUGUCUGGGAAACUGCUUGAUGGAGGGGGAUAACUACUGCAAACGGUAGCUAAUACCGCAUACCAUCAGAUGUGCCCAGAUGGGAUUAGCUAGUAGGUGGGGUAACGGCUCACCCAGGCGACGAUCCCUAGCUGGAAUGAGAGCAUGACCCGCCACACUGGAACUGAGACACGGGCAAGACUCCUACGGGAGGCAGCAGUGGGGAAUAUUGCACAAUGGGCGCAAGCCUGAUGCAGCCACGCCGCGUGUAUGAAGAAGGCCUUCGGGUUGUAAAGUAAUUUCAGCGGGGAGGCGUUACCCGCAGAAGAAGCACCGGCAAACUCCGUGACAGCGGCCGGGGUAAUUC